Long non-coding RNA from Sinocyclocheilus anshuiensis, 103 nucleotides. RefSeq lists it as uncharacterized. Lineage: Eukaryota; Metazoa; Chordata; Actinopteri; Cypriniformes; Cyprinidae. The record is from RefSeq and is a predicted model, not a curated record. The transcript has 3 exons.
UCACAUGAUCCUUCAGAAAUCAUUCUUACAUGCUGAUUUGCUGCUGUUAUUAUCAAUUGUUACUGGUGCUCAAUUAAUUACUAAUAAUGAAUUUAUACUAUAA